This 403-nucleotide ribosomal RNA is filed under the name Verrucomicrobiota bacterium. RNAcentral's name for it is "Verrucomicrobia bacterium partial 16S ribosomal RNA". It matches the Rfam family "Bacterial small subunit ribosomal RNA", at positions 355 to 776 of the family's 1533-position model. Lineage: Bacteria; Pseudomonadati; Verrucomicrobiota. The record is from RNAcentral.
UGGGGAAUCUUGCACAAUGGGGGCAACCCUGAUGCAGCGACGCCGCGUGAGCGAUGAAGGUUUUCGAAUCGUAAAGCUCUGUCCUAUGGGAAGAUAAUGACGGUACCAUAGGAGGAAGCCCCGGCUAACUACGUGCCAGCAGCCGCGGUAAUACGUAGGGGGCGAGCGUUGUCCGGAAUUACUGGGCGUAAAGGGUUCGCAGGCGGCCUGGCAAGUCCGAUGUAAAAGGCGAAGGCUCAACCGUAGUUAGCCUCCGAAACUGGAAGACUUGAGUGCAGGAGAGGAAAGUGGAAUUCCCAGGGUAGCGGUGAAAUGCGUAGAGAUUAGGAGGAACACCGGUGGCGAAAGCGGCUUUUUGGCCGGCAACUGACACUGAGGCGCGAAAGCGUGGGGAGCAAACAGG